GGCGCCGGGUGGCUCCACGCGUAGCAGGACCCACUUUUACUCUUCCGGACAACGGCCAACAGUGGUGACCUAGCCUCUUGUGAGGUGGUUCCCGGCGACUGCAGCGGAGACCGUGACUGGAGAUUACAGUUGAGGUCAUCUUCUCUGUGACCUAAACCCACUCCGCAGGUGGAAAGCCCAUUUUGCUACAACUUGGCAAGCAUCAUCAUCACUUGGGGAUUUAUGGAGCCUGGGCCCCUCCGUUAAAGUCUGCUGCAGCAAACUGAGACCUUCUGAGACAUGGCGGAAGGCAAUGUAAGCAAAGUCUGAAUAGGAUGAAUUGCUGAUUUUGCGUAGAAGAGUACUAAGCAAAAAGGAGAAAGCCCACAGCAAACUGCUCAGGAUGUUUGUUAUCCCUUGAAGGAAUGAAAAAGUUUUAAGUUCUGUGCAAGAUGCAAUUGAAGUUUUGUUUUAUUCUAUAUAAUCUAAGACUGGUUGCAGAGUAUAUUUAAAUAAUUGUAGAAGACUAUUGGGAAGGUAUAUUGGGAGGGGAAUCGCUCUCAAAAGACUUUCAUACUCAAUAUUUAAAGAGGUUUCCUUGUUCUAUCCCAGUAAGCCAAGCAAAUUCCCUUUAAGCCAUCCAUUUUCUAUUCCAUACUGUAUUUUUCCCAUGAUAAAUGCAUAAAAUGCUACAAAGUCA
Pteropus alecto (black flying fox) is the source of this 679-nucleotide long non-coding RNA. RefSeq lists it as uncharacterized. The record is from RefSeq and is a predicted model, not a curated record. The transcript is spliced from 2 exons. NCBI's taxonomy places the organism in Eukaryota, Metazoa, Chordata, Mammalia, Chiroptera, Pteropodidae.